GGGGAUAUAGCUCAGUUGGUANGAGCGCCUGCUUUGCACGCAGGAAGUCAGGAGUUCGAAUCUCCUUAUCUCCA
This 74-nucleotide transfer RNA is filed under the name Limnothrix sp. MR1. Its description in RNAcentral is "transfer RNA-Ala". It matches the Rfam family "tRNA". Rfam says of the family: Transfer RNA (tRNA) molecules are approximately 80 nucleotides in length. The record is from RNAcentral. Lineage: Bacteria; Bacillati; Cyanobacteriota; Cyanophyceae; Pseudanabaenales; Pseudanabaenaceae.